Molecule: long non-coding RNA, 1069 nt
Organism: Pleuronectes platessa (European plaice)
Lineage: Eukaryota; Metazoa; Chordata; Actinopteri; Pleuronectiformes; Pleuronectidae
Exons: 3
Source: RefSeq, a predicted model, not a curated record
CUGUUUGAGAUGAUGUGUCAAACGGCUGUAAAACAGUCCCCCUGCUUUAACAGGGUUUCCUCCCCUUGGCAGCCGUCGUAAAAAAACAAAAAACCCUGAGGGCCUUCACUCUCGUCCUGCUGGAGUUUCACGCUUUGCAUCUUUAGGUUUUUAAAGUUCCUCUCCAGCUCCUCGUGAUCUGAGUUGGACUCGGAAAAGAGGAACAAGAAGUUAAAUCGCCGAGAUGGAGAGAGGGAGAGUUGAUGAGCUGAGGAGCUGUUAUCGGUGUGUCUAAAGAAAAUAAACCCCCAGAUAAGAAAGGGUGCGAAGAGUCCUGAUCCCCCGACCUCUGAGUCACAGAGACGUGAUGGAAGCUGAUUCAGGCUGAUGGGGAAACGUUCCUGCUGGAGGAAGGGACUGAAAUGGCUUCCAGAUGUGGUUCCAAUCUGUUCCCGGGUUGCCACAGAAACGCGGGGACUGGAAUAGGUUUUUUCGAGUCCAGGGCUUUUUGGCUGACUCACAGGGCCUCAGUUUUUUUAAAAGCCUCGCUGCUGCUGUAGAUUUGGCACGACGAGGGCGCCCCGGCUCCAAGUCGUGUUUGGACUGGCAGCCGAGAUGUCACCGAACCCCCUUCCCAAACUCCUCACCCUGACUUUUUGACCGGGCCCUCGCGUUAUUCGGUAUAGUCGCUCCUUUGUGUUUCACACGUCCACCUUCAACACCAAGUGAAUGAAACGAGCAAAAUAUGAUUCCCAGCCUAACUGCAGAGGGGAUAUGACGAGGCCAAGUUCCAUAAUCACACACAGGCUUUGCACGUUUGAAUCCAUUCAAACACAGAAAUCCCUCACAGGAGAUGAUGCAGAUCAUCAAUCACCUCAGUUUAUCCUGAACACGCUGGUGACACGCAAGGCUCCUUCACAAGCUGUGACUUUCCCACCACAUGUCAGGGAUGAAACGCCAGAGAGCAUGUGUUGGGACGACUCAGCUGAGGAUCUCCUCCAUCUGCGGGCGGAGAGGACGAGCAGAUGGAGGCAGUUGUGUCUACGUGCCUCAGCAUCGUGGCAGUGAAUCAGACUUCAGGACGUUGUCA